RNAcentral lists this ribosomal RNA (460 nucleotides) under uncultured bacterium. Its description in RNAcentral is "partial 16S ribosomal RNA". It matches the Rfam family "Bacterial small subunit ribosomal RNA", at positions 338 to 795 of the family's 1533-position model. The record is from RNAcentral.
CCUACGGGUGGCAGCAGUGAGGAAUAUUGGUCAAUGGGCGUAAGCCUGAACCAGCCAAGUCGCGUGAGGGAUGAAGGUUCUAUGGAUCGUAAACCUCUUGUAUAAGGGAAUAAAGUGUGGGACGUGUCCUGUUUUGUAUGUACCUUAUGAAUAAGGAUCGGCUAACUCCGUGCCAGCAGCCGCGGUAAUACGGAGGAGCCGAGCGUUAUCCGGAUUUAUUGGGUUUAAAGGGUGCGUAGGCGGCCUUUUAAGUCAGCGGUGAAAGUCUGUGGCGCAACCAUAGAAUUGCCGUUGAAACUGGGAGGCUUGAGUAUGUUUGAGGCAGGCGGAAUGAGUGGUGUAGCGGUGAAAUGCUUAGAUAUCACGCAGAACCCCGAUUGCGAAGGCAGCCUGCCAAGCCAUGACUGACGCUGAUGCACGAAAGCGUGGGGAUCAAACAGGAUUAGAUACCCGAGUAGUC